CUCCCACAGACACUUACUUUUCCGCCCCGAGUCUCGCGCAUGCGCACCGCGACCUUCAAGCAGGCUCUGAAAUGAAAGCAUCUUGAGAAAGAGGGAGGGACCCUAAAUCGCGGUCAGGCUCCGGACGUGCAGGCUCAGCGGCCAUGGCUCACGGGCCCAGCCACUCUGCGGCAUGUGGGAUCUUCCCGGACCGGGGCACCAACCCACGUCCCUUGCAUCGGCAGGCGGACUCUCAACCACUGCACCACCAGGGAAGCCCUGUUUGUUUGUUUUUGAAGUAAAUACAUGUGUCUGUGAUAUGCAGGGUUCUCUAAAGCACAGGAUCCAGGUAGGGGCUCGUCUUGCCUGGGUCUAAGGACAGUACUGAAUGGAGCAAUCCAACAUUGUCCCCCUAUAUAGCUAUGGUGUUGUACAUAAAAUACAUACUAUUGCACUAAAUGAUCAUGCAUGCUAAAGUUAUAAAAACUUUAUAACUAUGUUUAUGACAUACACAAUGGAAUGAGGUAUGUACUUUACUCCUGUUUGGGAGAAUAAACAAUGAUCGCCAGUC
Molecule: long non-coding RNA, 550 nt
Organism: Orcinus orca (killer whale)
Lineage: Eukaryota; Metazoa; Chordata; Mammalia; Artiodactyla; Delphinidae
Exons: 2
Source: RefSeq, a predicted model, not a curated record